CAGCAGCCACGGUAAUACGUAGGUGGCAAGCGUUAUCCGGAAUUAUUGGGCGUAAAGCGCGCGUAGGCGGUUUUUUAAGUCUGAUGUGAAAGCCCACGGCUCAACCGUGGAGGGUCAUUGGAAACUGGAAAACUUGAGUGCAGAAGAGGAAAGUGGAAUUCCAUGUGUAGCGGUGAAAUGCGCAGAGAUAUGGAGGAACACCAGUGGCGAAGGCGACUUUCUGGUCUGUAACUGACGCUGAUGUGCGAAAGCGUGGGGAUCAAACAGGAUUAGAGACCCCUGUAGUCCCUGUCUCUUAUAC
This 301-nucleotide ribosomal RNA is filed under the name uncultured bacterium. Its description in RNAcentral is "partial 16S ribosomal RNA". It matches the Rfam family "Bacterial small subunit ribosomal RNA", at positions 509 to 807 of the family's 1533-position model. The record is from RNAcentral.